RNAcentral lists this ribosomal RNA (423 nucleotides) under Symbiodinium sp. strain Penghu Islands E. Its description in RNAcentral is "LSU rRNA". It matches the Rfam family "Eukaryotic large subunit ribosomal RNA", at positions 89 to 520 of the family's 3401-position model. Lineage: Eukaryota; Dinophyceae; Suessiales; Symbiodiniaceae. The record is from RNAcentral.
GCGAACGAACAGGGAUAAGCUCAGGUUGGAAACCAGGGCCCUGGUCCUGGGUUGUAGCCUGCAGACGUAGCGCUAUCGGCGGCUUGAGCGAAAGCCUCUUGGAACAGAGCGUGUGCCCAGGUGAGAAUCCUGUGUUUCGCUUGAAGUCCGCCGUGUACGGUGCUCGCUCUCAAAGUCACGCUCCUCGGAAUUGGAGCGUAAAUCAGGUGGUAGAUUUCAUCUAAAGCCAAAUACAGACCUGAGACCGAUAGUGAACAAGUACAUGAGGGAAAGAUGAAAAGGACUUUGGAAAGAGAGUUAAAAGUGCUUGAAAUCGCUGAAAGGGAAGCGAAUGGAACCACAUGCUUGCUGAGAUUGCUGCCAAUGCUUGUGAGCCCUGGUCAUUAAAGCGCAAGCUUCUUGUCUAGGAGUGAGUUGGCAUUU